RNAcentral lists this transfer RNA (73 nucleotides) under Sus scrofa (pig). It matches the Rfam family "tRNA". Rfam says of the family: Transfer RNA (tRNA) molecules are approximately 80 nucleotides in length. Their secondary structure includes four short double-helical elements and three loops (D, anti-codon, and T loops). Further hydrogen bonds mediate the characteristic L-shaped molecular structure. tRNAs have two regions of fundamental functional importance: the anti-codon, which is responsible for specific mRNA codon recognition, and the 3' end, to which the tRNAs corresponding amino acid is attached (by aminoacyl-tRNA synthetases). tRNAs cope with the degeneracy of the genetic code in two manners: having more than one tRNA (with a specific anti-codon) for a particular amino acid; and 'wobble' base-pairing, i.e. permitting non-standard base-pairing at the 3rd anti-codon position. The record is from Rfam by way of RNAcentral. Lineage: Eukaryota; Metazoa; Chordata; Mammalia; Artiodactyla; Suidae.
UCCCUCAUGGCCUAGUGGUUAAGGGCUCAGCAUUGUCGCUGCUGUGGCUCAGGUUUGAUCCCUGGCCUGGGAA